This 22-nucleotide microRNA is filed under the name Brugia malayi. RNAcentral's name for it is "bma-miR-36d-3p". Its record names the gene bma-miR-36d-3p. Lineage: Eukaryota; Metazoa; Nematoda; Chromadorea; Rhabditida; Onchocercidae. The record is from miRBase by way of RNAcentral.
UCACCAGAGAAAUUAUUCCACA